Molecule: ribosomal RNA, 468 nt
Filed under: uncultured bacterium
Lineage: Bacteria
Description: partial 16S ribosomal RNA
Rfam family: Bacterial small subunit ribosomal RNA
Source: RNAcentral
GACGAACGCUGGCGGCGUGCUUAACACAUGCAAGUCGAACGGAGAGGCCCUGCUUUUGUGGGGUGCUCGAGUGGCGAACGGGUGAGUAACACGUGAGUAACCUGCCCUUGACUUUAGGAUAACUUCAGGAAACUGGGGCUAAUACCGGAUAGGAGCUCCUGCUGCAUGGUGGGGGUUGGAAAGUUUCGGCGGUUGGGGAUGGACUCGCGGCUUAUCAGCUUGUUGGUGGGGUAGUGGCUUACCAAGGCUUUGACGGGUAGCCGGCCUGAGAGGGUGACCGGCCACAUUGGGACUGAGAUACGGCCCAGACUCCUACGGGAGGCAGCAGUGGGGAAUAUUGCACAAUGGGCGGAAGCCUGAUGCAGCAACGCCGCGUGCGGGAUGACGGCCUUCGGGUUGUAAACCGCUUUCGCCUGUGACGAAGCGUGAGUGACGGUAAUGGGUAAAGAAGCACCGGCUAACUACGUG